AAAGGGUGUGAGAAAUGCAUGUGAGAAACCUAAAAAUGAUUGUUUGUAGCCAGCACUUUCAGCCAGAGGAUUUUGAAACGGAAGUCUGAAAAAAGUGAUGGUAUUCCAUCGAUUUCCCUCUUCUCUUCAAAGAGGAAGGCAUCCGAUCAGCCAACAUCAGUGCAACAGAAAAGAAGCCAAGCUGAGACUAAUCCUGCUACUGAGGACGACCUUGACACCAACGUUAGUAGUACAGAGCCCGUAGACCCAUUGGAUGAAAUCUUUCAGCCUAGAAUAAGCCUAAGAUCAACAUCAUCUGACGUUGAAACAAGCCAGGACAGCCAAAGGGGACUUGCGGUACAUACAAAUCUUCUGCGAGAGGUCGAAGCAGUGGCAAGUGAAGAACAUCGCCAAAGCCUGCUAAACCAGCUGCCAUUACCCUUCACAAGCAGAGGUUCACCAGCUGAAGAACAUUCAACUAAAACCACAUCCAUAUUCAGUUAGACUCGUGUUCUAGUAUAAUAUAGAUUGAAGGAUGCCAUGAUUUCGACUGUCCGAGAAACACAGCCUGCCAGUCUGUCUCGUCCCGACUCCCGAUCAUUACUAUGGGACAGCUGGAGAUCGAAUUUGAAUAUUGAAACAAGGUUGCAAAUGUCGGAGAGACAAACAGCAAGAUUUAUACAAAUCUCCGCUGUUGAAAACUAAAUGUUAGUCUAAAGAUAUGUGAAAUAAUGUCUAGAUGCAUUUUAUAGUGGAGAUCAAGUUUAUAAAUUGCCUGGCUGGGCUGAUGAGAAAGUGGAUUGUGCAGUCAGAUUAUAGA
Oncorhynchus gorbuscha (pink salmon) is the source of this 799-nucleotide long non-coding RNA. RefSeq lists it as uncharacterized. The transcript is spliced from 3 exons. NCBI's taxonomy places the organism in Eukaryota, Metazoa, Chordata, Actinopteri, Salmoniformes, Salmonidae. The record is from RefSeq and is a predicted model, not a curated record.